Molecule: ribosomal RNA, 445 nt
Filed under: uncultured bacterium
Lineage: Bacteria
Description: bacterial SSU rRNA
Rfam family: Bacterial small subunit ribosomal RNA
Source: RNAcentral
GAUGAACGCUGGCGGCGUGCUUAACACAUGCAAGUCGAACGGGAAACCUUUUAUUGAAGCUUCGGCAGAUUUAGCUGGUUUCUAGUGGCGGACGGGUGAGUAACGCGUGGGUAACCUGCCUUAUACAGGGGGAUAACAACCAGAAAUGAUUGCUAAUACCGCAUAAGCGCACAGGACCGCAUGGUCCGGUGUGAAAAACUCCGGUGGUAUAGGAUGGACCCGCGUUGGAUUAGCUUGUUGGUGGGGUAACGGCCCACCAAGGCGACGAUCCAUAGCCGGCCUGAGAGGGUGAACGGCCACAUUGGGACUGAGACACGGCCCAGACUCCUACGGGAGGCAGCAGUGGGGAAUAUUGCACAAUGGGGGAAACCCUGAUGCAGCGACGCCGCGUGAAGGAAGAAGUAUCUCGGUAUGUAAACUUCUAUCAGCAGGGAAGAUAGUGACG